UUUAGACAGUAACAUCAACGCACCUCGACCAAAGUUCUUAAGGUUAAAUCUUGAACCCUCAUCUGAUUUACUGUUACUAUAAGAUUUAAAGUAUCACAUGUAUAUAUACUCUUCCCAGUAGCCAACUCAUUCAUGGAUAAACAUGUUUUAUAUACGUUGUGCAAAUCAAGAGGCAAGAAACUGAAAGAAAUGAUCUUUAUAUAUGUAUGCAUAAUGCACCGAAUCGGCUAUUACAGAAACACAUAUUUGUAUAUUUAGAUCGCAAAUCAUAAAGUUUAUGUUUUUAAACAAGACAUUGAAAUAUUUCAAGAACAUUGCAUUCACGAAAACAUAAGUAGAAAAAGGGAAACUUGGUUUAAAGCUUUGAUUUUUGCUUGCCGUGUUGAGCCGGUUGAUGCCGGUGCGUCUGAGUCGGGUCUGUGGGGUGUUGUCGCUGCUGAGUCGAGUCGGGGAAGAGGGCUGGCAGAGACGGCGGCGUAGAGACGCUUCUGUCCGGCCGAGCUUGAGCAGAAAGGAGAUGGAGUCGAGAGAUGGACGGAGGUCAGGGCACGGUGGCGGCUUCGCUGCUGCUGUCCGGCCAAGGGCGAAGGAUGAGAGAAGGGGGGAGGCGGUGGUUGCUACUGCCAGCGGCGGCUCCGCCAUGGCCAGAAAUCGAGGGAGAGAGAGAUUUGAGAGAGCAGAGCGUCUGUGUUUGUGUGUAGCCGAGAGAGAGAGAGAGGGAGCGAAUUGGGGGAAGAAGAAGAAAGGUUUUGGGCUUGGCUGAUGGGCUGAUUUUAACUUCUGUUGGGCCGUUUUUAUUUUAAAAAAAUAUUGGGCUCAGAAUUUUUACAAUUGUGCUGCAACUAUUUAUUUGAGUCAUGGGUUGAGUAUUUAAAUGUUGGGCCUCAUCUUUUAAAUAACUUAGGCUGUGAAUUUUUAAGAACUUGGGCCUUGAAUUUAAUUAUUUUGUGCAGUUCAUAUUUUUAAUUAAUUUAACUACCAUUAGUUUGAUUAAUUAUUUUUAAAAGAUAAAUUGCACAAUAAUAUUAUAUUAUUAUUAUGUGCAUAUGUUAAGUAAAUUACUUAUCAUAUGUUUCAACUUUCAAGCAUGACAUGAAAUUGCAUUUGCAUUAUGCAAUAAAAAGAAUUAUGAUUUUAAUUGGUUUCAUAAAUCCAAUUAUCAAAGAAGAUCGAGUAAGGAUAUUGUUGGUGUCCUUGACUCAAGAAUUUAGUUUUCAAUUAUUUAUUCAUUAAUUUUUUUAAAACCCGGCGUGAUGAAUCAUAAAAUGUUAAAGCACUUUACCAUGACUUGAGCUUAGAUUUAAGAGACCUAUUAAGAAUAGAAUUCUUGUAGGCUUUGAGGAUCAAGAGGAUUAGCACUGCUAUUCCGAUUCAGAGUUAAGUUUAAACGACAGGCUUUGCCUAUUCAGGUUGGCUGGCCGGUGCUGACGGGACGAAGCUGAGGCUAGAGUUAAAUUCCUAUGUUAGACUUCCGCUGUAGCAAUUACUCAUAUCAGUCUUUUGUUUUCCCAACUUAAGAUCUUCAUGUUAAAUUUCAAAUGAUAUACCUGACCGAGCUUAGACUCUUCACUACUAAAUUUAUGCUAAUGAAUGUCGGUUCUCAGAAGCAUGAAACAAAACUUGUGAUCCAAAGGGGCAUAGCCCGACUUAAUAUUUUAUUACUCGGC
This is a long non-coding RNA of Salvia miltiorrhiza (redroot sage), 1667 nucleotides long. RefSeq lists it as uncharacterized. The record is from RefSeq and is a predicted model, not a curated record. Lineage: Eukaryota; Viridiplantae; Streptophyta; Magnoliopsida; Lamiales; Lamiaceae. The transcript is spliced from 2 exons.